Molecule: ribosomal RNA, 253 nt
Filed under: uncultured bacterium
Lineage: Bacteria
Description: partial 16S ribosomal RNA
Rfam family: Bacterial small subunit ribosomal RNA
Source: RNAcentral
UACGUAGGGUCCGAGCGUUGUCCGGAAUUAUUGGGCGUAAAGGGCUCGUAGGCGGUUUGUCGCGUCGGGAGUGAAAACACGGGGCUUAACCCCGUGCCUGCUUCCGAUACGGGCAGACUAGAGGUAUGCAGGGGAGAACGGAAUUCCUGGUUUAGCGGUGAAAUGCGCAGAUAUCAGGAGGAACACCGGUGGCGAAGGCGGUUCUCUGGGCAUUACCUGACGCUGAGGAGCGAAAGUGUGGGGAGCGAACAGG